GUCCAGGGUAGCCUAGUGGUCAUGGCAUCUGCCCGGUAAGCGGAAGGUCGUGAGUUCGAUUUCCAUCCCUUGACA
Molecule: transfer RNA, 75 nt
Filed under: Cordylochernes scorpioides
Lineage: Eukaryota; Metazoa; Arthropoda; Arachnida; Pseudoscorpiones; Chernetidae
Description: tRNA-Thr
Rfam family: tRNA
About the family: Transfer RNA (tRNA) molecules are approximately 80 nucleotides in length. Their secondary structure includes four short double-helical elements and three loops (D, anti-codon, and T loops).
Source: RNAcentral